This 650-nucleotide ribosomal RNA is filed under the name uncultured bacterium. Its description in RNAcentral is "bacterial SSU rRNA". The stretch from base 1 to 548 matches the Rfam family "Bacterial small subunit ribosomal RNA", at positions 338 to 873 of the family's 1533-position model. The record is from RNAcentral.
CCUACGGGAGGCAGCAGUAGGGAAUAUUGGGCAAUGGAGGCAACUCUGACCCAGCCAUGCCGCGUGCAGGAAGACGGUCCUCUGGAUUGUAAACUGCUUUUGAAUGGGAAGAAUGUGCUCCUUGCGAGGGGUAAUGACGGUACCAUUAGAAUAAGCCACGGCUAACUACGUGCCAGCAGCCGCGGUAAUACGUAGGUGGCGAGCGUUAUCCGGAUUUAUUGGGUUUAAAGGGUGCGUAGGCGGCUUAAUAAGUCGGUGGUUAAAAGUAGCAGCUUAACUGUUUUACAUGCCAUCGAUACUGUUGAGCUUGAGAUAUUUGGAGGCAGCUAGAAUUUCCGGUGUAGCGGUGAAAUGCAUAGAUACCGGAAGGAAUACCAAUUGCGAAGGCAGGUUGCUACGAAUAAACUGACGCUGAUGCACGAAAGCGUGGGGAUCAAACAGGAUUAGAUACCCUGGUAGUCCACGCCGUAACGACUAGAUUACUAGUUGUUGGGUUUAAGGUACCGUCAGUGACCGAACGGGAAACCGGAACGUAAGUAAAUACCACCGUCGGGGUAGGUACGGCCGGCCGAACCGGUAGGAAACGUACGAAAGGAAAGUUAGUACGGCGUGAGACGUGCCGAACGGACGACCGACGAGGGGAGGUAGGG